This is a long non-coding RNA of Herpailurus yagouaroundi (jaguarundi), 1514 nucleotides long. RefSeq lists it as uncharacterized. The record is from RefSeq and is a predicted model, not a curated record. Lineage: Eukaryota; Metazoa; Chordata; Mammalia; Carnivora; Felidae. The transcript is spliced from 2 exons.
AUAUCCUGCACGGAAUGCCACCCAGGAGUCAAAGGGGGUGAUUUUUGGUAAUGGACCCUAGGAAACACUGGGGCUUCUUCUUCAGUCCCCAAGGGCUCUCUCUUGGGAUGCCUUUUAACCCACUGGAAACAAUUCAGAUUGCAAAAUUUAGGAAAGAACUGAUCUCCUGUAACACUGCAUGGCAUUAGUAGGAUCUGACAGUCAGAUCUCUUCUGCACAAAACAGGGCAAAUGGUCAGAGAUACCUGAAGUCCAGGUCUUCAGGGCUCUAAAUCAGCACCUGGACCUAAGGGCUUCUUGCAGAAUGUGUUUGCCCAAAUGUAUUUGGCUAGUAAACUCCCUCCUGACAUAUUGGAUGAUAAUUAUCUAACUAGGCCUCCUCCUGAUAGAACUCAGGUUGCUGAGGAAACCCAGGCCAUCCCUGACCAUGGGGACACUGACUUUCUCUCUCUGUUCCUCCUAAUAGAUGUGAGGGCUUCUCCCUCAUUCAUUUCCUGGGUUAAUGGCUAUGACAACUGGAGCCAACUGCGGUUAGUCUAACUCAGGACAGGGACGUUAAGGAAUAUUCCCGAGCAGCUGCCAAAACUCCCUUUGUUUCAGGGAAAUUCCCUGUCUUCUCUGGCCUGACAUGGACUUCAUAUUUCUGCUUUGGUGGAAAAAAAGAAAGAAAAAAUAAGUAAACAUGCCAUCAACUCCCCUGUCUGAGCUGACAAGGUUUAGAACUGGAAAUCCUCUUUCUUGGCCUUCUGCUAGCACCUUGCCUCUUCUACCUUCCCCUCCCCCUCCUCCUAUUUCUGCACCACCUUGGGUGCAGCCUGCAUAACUGGUUCCUACAGCAUCUUCAGUGCCUCAGAACCAUUGGCUCCUCCUCUUCCCACCCUCAAUAUCAAGGAGCAGAGAGCAACCUCCUUGGAGCGCCCACUUCAGAUUUCCCUUCCUGUGUCCCAGGAGGUUCAGGCAUGUUGUCCACAUUGGAUUCAGCUGCCUCCGCCUUCGUAACUUCUCUACACCUUCCCCGACUGACCAAUAUUGACCCAUAGGUAGGGACAACUCUACACCCCUACCCAGCAGGAAGAAGCUACGGAAGAUGAGACCUUCCACCUUCAGCAACUGUAAAGACUUAAGGGUCAAAAUUAUGCAGGGGGGAUAUGAUGAGGGAGCAUAAGGCAGGCUGAGGGCAAAGCACCCCCACCCCAGGUGGGACAGGGGUGAUAUUCCUCAGGUAGUCCUGGCUGCCCCAGAACAAAGGAAAGGACAGAAAACAAAUGGUUGAACUGAUAGCGAUCACAGGAACUGAGUCUCCAUCAGUUUACAAAUAGCUUAGUAAAUGACAAGAAAAAGGCAAUCUUAUCAAUAGCUUAAUCUCCAGAAGCCUAUAGCCUCAACACCACCCUCCCCUCUGUAGUGAUGUGCGGAACAAAGGCAAGAAGGAAAUGGCAGGUAAAAUUGAAUUUGCUUAUAAUCUGCUGCCCGCGGGACCUAUCCCCGGGCUUUAAUAAAACCACCUUUUUCCAC